GACGUAGGGCGCGAGCGUUGUCCGGAUUUAUUGGGCGUAAAGAGCUCGUAGGCGGUUUGUCGCGUCUGCCGUGAAAGUCCGGGGCUCAACUCCGGAUCUGCGGUGGGUACGGGCAGACUAGAGUGAUGUAGGGGAGACUGGAAUUCCUGGUGUAGCGGUGAAAUGCGCAGAUAUCAGGAGGAACACCGAUGGCGAAGGCAGGUCUCUGGGCAUUAACUGACGCUGAGGAGCGAAAGCAUGGGGAGCGAACAGG
Molecule: ribosomal RNA, 253 nt
Filed under: uncultured bacterium
Lineage: Bacteria
Description: partial 16S ribosomal RNA
Rfam family: Bacterial small subunit ribosomal RNA
Source: RNAcentral